This 559-nucleotide ribosomal RNA is filed under the name uncultured bacterium. RNAcentral describes it as "bacterial SSU rRNA". It matches the Rfam family "Bacterial small subunit ribosomal RNA", at positions 120 to 674 of the family's 1533-position model. The record is from RNAcentral.
GGGAAACUGCCCGAUGGAGGGGGAUAACUACUGGAAACGGUAGCUAAUACCGCAUAACGUCGCAAGACCAAAGAGGGGGACCUUCGGGCCUCUUACCAUCAGAUGUGCCCAGAUGGGAUUAGCUAGUAGGUGGGGUAACGGCUCACCUAGGCGACGAUCCCUAGCUGGUCUGAGAGGAUGACCAGCCACACUGGAACUGAGACACGGUCCAGACUCCUACGGGAGGCAGCAGUGGGGAAUAUUGCACAAUGGGCGCAAGCCUGAUGCAGCCAUGCCGCGUGUAUGAAGAAGGCCUUCGGGUUGUAAAGUACUUUCAGCGGGGAGGAAGGCGAUAAGGUUAAUAACCUUGUCGAUUGACGUUACCCGCAGAAGAAGCACCGGCUAACUCCGUGCCAGCAGCCGCGGUAAUACGGAGGGUGCAAGCGUUAAUCGGAAUUACUGGGCGUAAAGCGCACGCAGGCGGUCUGUCAAGUCGGAUGUGAAAUCCCCGGGCUCAACCUGGGAACUGCAUUCGAAGCUGGCAGGCUAGAGUCUUGUAGAGGGGGGUAGAAUUCCAGGU